AGCGGGGAACGGGUGAGUAACGCGUGGGUGACCUGCCCUCUGUUCUGGGAUAAGCCUGGGAAACUGGGUCUAAUACUGGAUAUGACCUCAUGACGCAUGUUGGGGGGUGGAAAGCCUUGUGCGGCUGGGGAUGGGCCCGCGGCCUAUCAUCUUGUUGGGGGGGUGAUGGCCUACCAAGGCAACGACGGGUACCCGGCCUGAGAGGGCGACCGGCCACACUGGGACUGAGACCCGGCCCACACUCCUACGGGAGGCAGCAGUGGGUAAUCUUGCGCAAUGGGCGAAAGCCUGACCCACCGACCCCGCGUGAGGGAUGACCGCCUUCGGGUUGUAACCCUCUUUCACCUCCAACAAAGCGUAAGUGACGGUAGGGAAAAAAAAAGCAACCGGCCAACUACGUGCCAGCAGCCGCGGUAAUACGUAGGGUGCAAGCGUUGUCCGAAAUUAUUGGGCGUAAAGAGCUCGGAGGCGGUCUGUCGCGUCGGCUGUAAAAACUCGGGGCUCAACUCCGAGCUUGCAGUCGAUACGGGCAGGUUAGAGUUCGGCAGGGGAGACUGGAAUUCCUGGUGUAGCGGUGAAAUGCGCAGAUAUCAGGAGGAACACCGGUGGCGAAGGCGGGUCUCUGGGCCGAUACUGACUCUGAGGAGCGAAAGCGUGGGGAGCGAACAGGAUUAGAUACCCUGGUAGUCCACGCCGUAAACGUUGGGCGCUAGGUGUGGGAUCCCUUCCACGGGUUCCGUGCCGCAGCUAAGGCAUUAAGCGCCCCGCCUGGGGAGUACGGCCGCAAGGCUAAAACUCAAAGGAAUUGACGGGGAGCCCGCACAAGCGGCGGAGCAUGUGGAUUAAUUCGAUGCAACGCGAAGAACCUUACCUGGGUUUGACAUACACUGGAAAGCCGUGGAGACAUGGCCUCCGCAAGGCCGGUGUACAGGUGGUGCAUGGCUGUCGUCAGCUCGUGUCGUGAGAUGUUGGGUUAAGUCCCGCAACGAGCGCAACCCUUGUCUCAUGUUGCCAGCGGGUUAUGCCGGGGACU
Molecule: ribosomal RNA, 1033 nt
Filed under: uncultured bacterium
Lineage: Bacteria
Description: bacterial SSU rRNA
Rfam family: Bacterial small subunit ribosomal RNA
Source: RNAcentral